UGGGACGUAUGCUUGAAAAGCUUCAAAUAUUGCUUUUGUAUCAGCUGCGUACAGGACAUACAGCACUGCUGUGCAUCAUGGAGGUGACACAUGAGGAAAUGUGUGUUCUGUGUAUAUGGAAAUGUAAUGACUACAAGCAAACUAAACAAAUGACCUGGUCAGGGUGGGGGUGGGUCUGGAGCCUAUCCCAGGAACGCUGUGCGCGAGGUACGAACACACCCGGGAUGAGAUUCCAGGCCAUUGCAGAGCAGUGGUGUUUCAAAUAAUCGUCUAAGUGAAAAUAUACAAAAGUACUUUCUGAAUGUAUACAAAAAUAUAAAGGUGGGCAAAGUAUAUCCUGAUGCACCGAGUCCCCCCCCCCAACCAAAAAAAAGUUUCUACUUCUAGUCCUUGUGUAUAUUUGACCCCUAACACUACAGCUACGUUCGUUAAUCCUCAUGAAUUUUUCUCCAGUGGUGAACAGACUAGACUAUAGAGCUACCGGUGGUCUAGUCCACCUGUUCUAGAUCAGCGCUGGAGAACGGGACCAUCUGCACCACUGUAGGGUUUCCUCUGCCUGCUCUGCUCCGACUUCAUCAAAAAUCUCUGAAAGAUCCGGAAUAAAUGAACCGACUGCUGAGCGAGUCUGGAAUUCUCGGAUGUCGGCGCGGAGCAGAUGAUCUCCUGAGCUCCUGAUGUCUGCUUAGCACUUGAUUUACGCUUUCCUAGUGUAAAGAUUCUUCAGGUAUUGAAUCAGGCCAAACGUGACUCGUUACAUUUUGGGAGAACACGGUUUGAGGAUGCGUAGUUUCAGCGUAGAUGAAUGCCGAAGAGAGGAAAAGCAACCACUCUGCAAAGUCACAGACGAGCUGACGGUCAACCGAGUUAUAUAGCGCUAACAACCUCCCAACGAUUGCAAAAACAUGUUCACUGUCUGUGGUAUGACCCGUCUGGGUAGGCCGCAUCGUAAACAAGAGCGUCUCCUCUAACCUCCUGGUUCACUGACCACCGGACCCAAAACAGAGACUCGAGCAGAAGUAUUAUUCAGAGGUUUAUUCUUUUACCGGAGCAGUCUCUUCAGGGACGUUCACGGCCACACAAAACAGGAGAGAGAGAACACACAAACUAUACACCCGCUACAGGAAAACAAACCAGCAGUGCGAACACACCAGUAACGGUACGACACCGUACUCGCACCGAACCCCAAAUCAUAUUAUGUCCCAUGACGUAAGUUUUUUUUUUAAAAAUGAGAGAUUUUCUCUAGCAUAGAUGGCACGCUACGGUGUUUUAAAGAGUGCGAGAGCGGCUGAGCCGUAAGGACCGUCUGCACUGUGGACCGAGACGCGCGCAGUUCCUUUCUCCUCGUUCACGGUUCAUUAAAGUAAAAACGGCAUGGCUGAAAGUUGUUUUUUUUUUAAAAAGUAAUUUGUAAUGUUAAUUUUAUUAGUAUUCUGACAUUCUGUGAAAAGGAAAUCGAAUAUAAAACGCAUCGUUUGAGUUUCUGUUACUGCUUUUAUAACACUUUGUUGACAUGACCCAAGAUAAAGGCAAAGCGAAGUGUAAAAAAAUAUAUAUCAAUAAACGUCCAUGUCAACCUAUUCCUCACCUCCCCACCCCCCGGGUCAACCGUCCACUAUGGUUAUUUCCCGCAUGGUUACCAUGGUUACCGGUACAGACCUACCUUUGGACUCGCGUUGCUUCUCGUCUGAGUCUACAGAGACGAUUCUAUGCGUCAAACGAAUAAACUUAUUAAAUAGUGAGUGAUGGAGAUUUGUGUCGCCUAAGGACAGCUUCAGAGCAGGUUUAUUUGCAUUUCUAACCCGGUUGUUUGCUGUAAAUCUGACGCCUGGCCGUUGGAAGACACCAGAAGUUGUCUCGAGUGGUCAGAAGGCCUCAUAAACCUGAGAUCAACCCACAGAGAGCAUGCCCCGCCCCCAUGAUAUUAAAAAUACAAAAAAGAUUGUUGUCUAAAACUACAAAUUUGACAUUAAUCAUAGACAUUGAUCACUGAAGAAGAAGAAGAACCACUCGAUCGAACAGACGUCCCAAAGACUCACCCCGUGCAUGCUGAGUGGACUGUAGCUCGGCUGAGCGUUAUGACUCAUUAGUGCUCGGGGAAUGGAGGGAACGACUUUGAGGGAGAGUAAUGAAGCGUUUAAAUGAGCACUCGACAUGUUCCUUCAAGUCUGCAAGCUGAACUUCAGGGGUGCAGCCCACACACACGAUCUGUUAUUUAGAUCUAUACCACAGUGCUGAUGAGUCCUGGAUUCUGAUUGGUCAGGAGGUUUAUUACUGUUUGUUAUUUUCUAUAACUGCAUCCCGGACAGUAGCGCAGGUUUAUACGAACGCGCUCGUUCUGAUACGUUAUCGUUUCCAUACCGUAGUAACGGCUCGUUCGUAGGGACUCGUUAUGAAGGAAGCUCCACGUGAACUGAUUAACACAACGUGUGUAAUCGUCGAUACGGUGACAUUUCAGUUCAUUUAAUUAUCGUUGACAUUUGUGGAAAGAUUCUCCAGUGUCGACGCUUUGUAAGUUUUCUGAGUAUCUGGCUGUAUCUCUCUGGGAGGAAGCGUGUGUUAGCCUUUACUCUCCCCCGCUGAUUAGCUGUCAAUUUUGACACGUGAAUUAGCUUUAAUGCUAACUGAAAAGCUAGUUUCCAGAGAUGAUUAAAGCCGAAACCAGAUGAAAUAAAUCUGAAAAACAACACUGAUAUCUAAACUAGAUAACACUUGCUUCCUCCAACACACGUGAAGCGAGCGCAAAAAGAAGCACAUGACUGCACGUUAGCUAUUAGCUAGUGUUAGUUAGUUAGUUAGUUAGGAAUCGGCUAGUGACCAAAUCGGGAGGGAAAAAAACGCCCAAUUAAAUCUGAUUUAUUGUAGCCGGAACAAUCAUGUGGUAACAUCUAAAAAUCUUCAUGGGUGGAGCUUUGGAAAUCCCACAUUUGCUUCCUGUCUAACAGAUCUAUUAGCUAAAUGGAUGCUCAUAUCCUGCCUCUGAGGCGUGGCACAUCAGAGCAAGCA
Molecule: long non-coding RNA, 3003 nt
Organism: Ictalurus punctatus (channel catfish)
Lineage: Eukaryota; Metazoa; Chordata; Actinopteri; Siluriformes; Ictaluridae
Source: Ensembl